RNAcentral lists this ribosomal RNA (706 nucleotides) under Clostridioides difficile. RNAcentral describes it as "bacterial LSU rRNA". It matches the Rfam family "Bacterial large subunit ribosomal RNA", at positions 58 to 768 of the family's 2925-position model. The record is from RNAcentral. Lineage: Bacteria; Bacillati; Bacillota; Clostridia; Peptostreptococcales; Peptostreptococcaceae.
GUGAUACGCUGCGAUAAGCUUCGGGGAGUUGCACGUAAACGUUGAUACGAAGAUCUCCGAAUGACGAAAGUCACUUAGAGUAAUGUCUAAGUAUCAUUAAGUGAAUACAUAGCUUAAUGAGGGGAACUCAGGGAACUGAAACAUCUAAGUACCUGAAGGAAGAGAAAGAAAGUCGAUUCCGUAAGUAGCGGCGAGCGAACGCGGAUUAGCCCAAACCAAUAAAGUUUUCUUUAUUGGGGUUGCGGACAUAUCAUAACGAAGAGGUAUCGUAAUUGAAGAGGUUUGGAAAGACCCACCACAGAAGGUAAUAGUCCUGUAUGUUAAACGAGAAGACUUUAGAUAUGAUCCAGAGUACCACGGGACACGUGAAACCCUGUGGGAAGCAGGAGGGACCACCCUCCAAGGCUAAAUACUACCUAGUGACCGAUAGCGUAUAGUACCGUGAGGGAAAGGUGAAAAGAACCCCGGGAGGGGAGUGAAAUAGAACCUGAAACCCUGCACUUACAAGCUGUGGAAGCACAUUUCUUGUGUGACCGCGUACUUUUUGUAGAACGGGCCAACGAGUUACGUUAAGUAGCAAGGUUAAGCACUUAAGGUGCGGAGCCGUAGCGAAAGCGAGUUUUAACUGAGCGUUCAGUUACUUGACGUAGACCCGAAACCGGGCGACCUACCCAUGAGCAGGAUGAAGCGAAAGUAAAAUUUCGUG